This is a long non-coding RNA of Carassius auratus (goldfish), 281 nucleotides long. RefSeq lists it as uncharacterized. Lineage: Eukaryota; Metazoa; Chordata; Actinopteri; Cypriniformes; Cyprinidae. The record is from RefSeq and is a predicted model, not a curated record. The transcript has 4 exons.
CAGCAGAGACGUCGACUAGCCAUACUCCUCACAACUCCUGUUUCGUAACUUAAUCGAGGUCACCUGAAGGACGGCGUUCCUGAGUUUCCUCAGCAACGGCAAGACCCGCACUCCUCUCAUAUCGGGAAGUUUAACGAGUUUUGCGGCUCAAGCAAGAGGCACCUGUCACUGAAGGACUGCUUUUCUCAGCAACGACGUGAACAGCAUUAACGUUACUCGAAUUUCAUGGUUCAGCUGAUCUACCCGUCUUCGUACACGCAGAGUUGGCAGAGGAGGUCAUA